This 115-nucleotide ribosomal RNA is filed under the name Deltaproteobacteria bacterium. The record is from RNAcentral. Lineage: Bacteria; Pseudomonadati; Myxococcota; Myxococcia.
CUCGGUGGCUAUGGCGGAGGGAUCUACCGAUCCCAUCUCGAACUCGGUCGUCAAGCCCUCCAGCGUCGAUGGUACUGCACAGGUGACUGUGUGGGAGAGUAGAACGCCGCCGGGG